This 468-nucleotide ribosomal RNA is filed under the name uncultured bacterium. RNAcentral's name for it is "partial 16S ribosomal RNA". It matches the Rfam family "Bacterial small subunit ribosomal RNA", at positions 28 to 507 of the family's 1533-position model. The record is from RNAcentral.
GACGAACGCUGGCGGCGUGCUUAACACAUGCAAGUCGAACGGAAAGGCCCUGCUUUUGUGGGGUGCUCGAGUGGCGAACGGGUGAGUAACACGUGAGUAACCUGCCCUUGACUUUGGGAUAACUUCAGGAAACUGGGGCUAAUACCGGAUAGGAGCUCCUUCUGCAUGGUGGGGGUUGGAAAGUUUCGGCGGUUGGGGAUGGACUCGCGGCUUAUCAGCUUGUUGGUGGGGUAGUGGCUUACCAAGGCUUUGACGGGUAGCCGGCCUGAGAGGGUGACCGGCCACAGUGGGACUGAGAUACGGCCCAGACUCCUACGGGAGGCAGCAGUGGGGAAUAUUGCACAAUGGGCGGAAGCCUGAUGCAGCAACGCCGCGUGAGGGAUGACGGCCUUCGGGUUGUAAACCGCUUUCGCCUGUGACGAAGCGUGAGUGACGGUAAUGGGUAAAGAAGCACCGGCUAACUACGUG